CCUACGGGAGGCAGCAGUAGGGAAUCUUCCGCAAUGGACGAAAGUCUGACGGAGCAACGCCGCGUGAGCGAUGAAGGCCUUCGGGUCGUAAAGCUCUGUUGUUAGGGAAGAACAAGUAUCGGAGUAACUGCCGGUACCUUGACGGUACCUAACCAGAAAGCCACGGCUAACUACGUGCCAGCAGCCGCGGUAAUACGUAGGUGGCAAGCGUUGUCCGGAAUUAUUGGGCGUAAAGCGCGCGCAGGCGGUCCUUUAAGUCUGAUGUGAAAGCCCACGGCUCAACCGUGGAGGGUCAUUGGAAACUGGGGGACUUGAGUACAGAAGAGGAAAGCGGAAUUCCACGUGUAGCGGUGAAAUGCGUAGAGAUGUGGAGGAACACCAGUGGCGAAGGCGGCUUUCUGGUCUGUAACUGACGCUGAGGCGCGAAAGCGUGGGGAGCAACAGGAUUAGAUACCCUGGUAGUCCACGCCGUAAACGAUGAGUGCUAAGUGUUAGAGGGUUUCCGCCCUUUAGUGCUGCAGCUAACGCAUUAAGCACUCCGCCUGGGGAGUACGGCCGCAAGGCUGAAACUCAAAGGAAUUGACGGGGGCCCGCACAAGCGGUGGAGCAUGUGGUUUAAUUCGAAGCAACGCGAAGAACCUUAC
RNAcentral lists this ribosomal RNA (644 nucleotides) under bacterium SC1-42. Its description in RNAcentral is "bacterial SSU rRNA". It matches the Rfam family "Bacterial small subunit ribosomal RNA", at positions 338 to 974 of the family's 1533-position model. The record is from RNAcentral.